GCGCCCCCCUGCCCCAGCCCUGCGCCCCCCUGCCCCCAAGAGACGUGCCCGACCCGCGCGCCACCACCCACGCGGCCAGGCAAGGGCACGCGCUCCACACGUAGCCUAUCAGACAGCCCAUCACCCCCACCUGGCCCCGCCCCAGUACUGGCCAGAGAACCAAUACGUGAUGAGGAACCGUCACACCAGGCGAGACCACGCCCCCUAUGGUUACCAGAGACCAGCCCACUACUACCCCUACCCCCCCUACUAGCACUGCCCCCCCGCAGCUUCCAGUUCAGUAUUAUGACCUCAUGGUCUGUUAUGGAAACGGUUCUGUUGUUAUGGAACCAGUUCUGUUAUGGUUACCUGUCAAUAUUUAGUGCUUUUUAUUGUUUCAUGAAGGGUUUUCUCUGUAAAGCUUUUUUCGAAGACUUAACUCAUUUUAGUGCCUUAGGAUGACAUUUUUGAAAAUCAUUUUACUCUCGAAUAACCUACUUAAGUUUUAAAAUGUGUGGAAUUGUUAGUUUGUGUGCUUAUUGCUCUUAAGUGUGAAGUAUUAUGAUUGUAGUGUGUGCUUAACAUUUUGACCCUGUUCCCUUAAAUUUGUGUGUGUGUGUUUAACACA
Long non-coding RNA from Hypomesus transpacificus, 607 nucleotides. RefSeq lists it as uncharacterized. Lineage: Eukaryota; Metazoa; Chordata; Actinopteri; Osmeriformes; Osmeridae. The transcript is spliced from 2 exons. The record is from RefSeq and is a predicted model, not a curated record.